GUUUGUUUGCGCUCUCUGUAGUGGUGCAGAUUUCACUUGAAGAGACGGAUUUGUAGAUCAGCAUGAAGAACUCAUGAAGAAGAUGGUAUGAAACAGAUUUGAUCCCGACAAUAUCACAUGUGAAGGAGAUGAAAUUGCAGAUCAGCAAGGAAGAGAUCGGACUGAAGAUGAGCCGUCGCGCUUUGGAGGGAAUAGCAAGAGGCAUGGAAAGUUACAGAUGGAAGAGGUGGAAACGUGGAUAAGUUCUAGUGGGGCUAGGGCAAAUAAAGGGUUUUGGGUUUGGGCUGGACCAUGGGUCACGACGGGGCUGAAAUAACGGAAGUGUCGUACAGUUAUCGGACGUAAAACAUCAUACGUGAAGCAAUUUCGAAUAUGUAAUUCUCUACAAGAGGCAAAAAUUUGAUUCAUGUGCUUCCUCUUGAAUCGAUACUCUUACUUUGAAAAGGCAACAACUGAACCAUGUGCGCUUGCAAGUUAUCAGCUGCUAUGUACCAAGAAA
Molecule: long non-coding RNA, 499 nt
Organism: Hordeum vulgare subsp. vulgare (domesticated barley)
Lineage: Eukaryota; Viridiplantae; Streptophyta; Magnoliopsida; Poales; Poaceae
Exons: 2
Source: RefSeq, a predicted model, not a curated record